Molecule: ribosomal RNA, 696 nt
Filed under: uncultured bacterium
Lineage: Bacteria
Description: bacterial SSU rRNA
Rfam family: Bacterial small subunit ribosomal RNA
Source: RNAcentral
AACGCUAGCUACAGGCUUAACACAUGCAAGUCGAGGGGAAACGACAUCGAAAGCUUGCUUUUGAUGGGCGUCGACCGGCGCACGGGUGAGUAACGCGUAUCCAACCUGCCCACCACUUGGGGAUAACCUUGCGAAAGUAAGACUGAUACCCGAUGAUAUCCCUAGACGACAUCUGAAAGGGAUUAAAGAUUUAUCGGUGAUGGAUGGGGAUGCGUCUGAUUAGCUUGUUGGCGGGGUAACGGCCCACCAAGGCAACGAUCAGUAGGGGUUCUGAGAGGAAGGUCCCCCACAUUGGAACUGAGACACGGUCCAAACUCCUACGGGGGGCAGCAGUGAGGAAUAUUGGUCAAUGGGCGAGAGCCUGAACCAGCCAAGUAGCGUGCAGGAUGACGGCCCUAUGGGUUGUAAACUGCUUUUAUAAGGGAAUAAAGUGAGUCUCGUGAGACUUUUUGCAUGUACCUUAUGAAUAAGGACCGGCUAAUUCCGUGCCAGCAGCCGCGGUAAUACGGAGGAUCCAAGCGUUAUCCGGAUUUAUUGGGUUUAAAGGGUGCGCAGGCGGGAGAUUAAGUCGGUGGUGAAAUUUUGCGGCUCAACCGUAAGAGUGCCAUCGAAACUGGUUUUCUUGAGUGUAGAUGAAGUAGGCGGAAUUUGUGGUGUGGCGGUGAAAUGCAUAGAUAUCACGAAGAACUCCGAUUG